Molecule: ribosomal RNA, 1312 nt
Filed under: Bacillus sp. (in: firmicutes)
Lineage: Bacteria; Bacillati; Bacillota; Bacilli; Caryophanales; Bacillaceae
Description: bacterial SSU rRNA
Rfam family: Bacterial small subunit ribosomal RNA
Source: RNAcentral
UGCAGUCGAGCGGACAGAUGGGAGCUUGCUCCCUGAUGUUAGCGGCGGACGGGUGAGUAACACGUGGGUAACCUGCCUGUAAGACUGGGAUAACUCCGGGAAACCGGGGCUAAUACCGGAUGCUUGUUUGAACCGCAUGGUUCAAACAUAAAAGGUGGCUUCGGCUACCACUUACAGAUGGACCCGCGGCGCAUUAGCUAGUUGGUGAGGUAANGGCUCACCAAGGCAACGAUGCGUAGCCGACCUGAGAGGGUGAUCGGCCACACUGGGACUGAGACACGGCCCAGACUCCUACGGGAGGCAGCAGUAGGGAAUCUUCCGCAAUGGACGAAAGUCUGACGGAGCAACGCCGCGUGAGUGAUGAAGGUUUUCGGAUCGUAAAGCUCUGUUGUUAGGGAAGAACAAGUACCGUUCGAAUAGGGCGGUACCUUGACGGUACCUAACCAGAAAGCCACGGCUAACUACGUGCCAGCAGCCGCGGUAAUACGUAGGUGGCAAGCGUUGUCCGGAAUUAUUGGGCGUAAAGGGCUCGCAGGCGGUUCCUUAAGUCUGAUGUGAAAGCCCCCGGCUCAACCGGGGAGGGUCAUUGGAAACUGGGGAACUUGAGUGCAGAAGAGGAGAGUGGAAUUCCACGUGUAGCGGUGAAAUGCGUAGAGAUGUGGAGGAACACCAGUGGCGAAGGCGACUCUCUGGUCUGUAACUGACGCUGAGGAGCGAAAGCGUGGGGAGCGAACAGGAUUAGAUACCCUGGUAGUCCACGCCGUAAACGAUGAGUGCUAAGUGUUAGGGGGUUUCCGCCCCUUAGUGCUGCAGCUAACGCAUUAAGCACUCCGCCUGGGGAGUACGGUCGCAAGACUGAAACUCAAAGGAAUUGACGGGGGCCCGCACAAGCGGUGGAGCAUGUGGUUUAAUUCGAAGCAACGCGAAGAACCUUACCAGGUCUUGACAUCCUCUGACAAUCCUAGAGAUAGGACGUCCCCUUCGGGGGCAGAGUGACAGGUGGUGCAUGGUUGUCGUCAGCUCGUGUCGUGAGAUGUUGGGUUAAGUCCCGCAACGAGCGCAACCCUUGAUCUUAGUUGCCAGCAUUCAGUUGGGCACUCUAAGGUGACUGCCGGUGACAAACCGGAGGAAGGUGGGGAUGACGUCAAAUCAUCAUGCCCCUUAUGACCUGGGCUACACACGUGCUACAAUGGACAGAACAAAGGGCAGCGAAACCGCGAGGUUAAGCCAAUCCCACAAAUCUGUUCUCAGUUCGGAUCGCAGUCUGCAACUCGACUGCGNGAAGCNGGAAUCGCUAGUAAUCGCGGAUCAG